RNAcentral lists this ribosomal RNA (352 nucleotides) under uncultured bacterium. Its description in RNAcentral is "bacterial SSU rRNA". It matches the Rfam family "Bacterial small subunit ribosomal RNA", at positions 8 to 350 of the family's 1533-position model. The record is from RNAcentral.
AGAGUUUGAUCAUGGCUCAGGAUGAACGCUAGCUACAGGCUUAACACAUGCAAGUCGAGGGGAAACGACAUCGAAAGCUUGCUUUUGAUGGGCGUCGACCGGCGCACGGGUGAGUAACGCGUAUCCAACCUGCCCACCACUUGGGGAUAACCUUGCGAAAGUAAGACUAAUACCCAAUGACGUCCCUAGAAGACAUCUGAAGGAGGUUAAAGAUUUAUCGGUGAUGGAUGGGGAUGCGUCUGAUUAGCUUGUUGGCGGGGUAACGGCCACCAAGGCGACGAUCAGUAGGGGUUCUGAGAGGAAGGUCCCCCANAUUGGAACUGAGACACGGUCCAAACUCCUACGGGAGGCA